UCUGCCCCUGGGUGAGAUUGGGAGUGGGGCUUGAUCCUCCCCUGUCAGUGGGAAGUACAAGAUCGCGUCGGAAGGAGCGGGCGAUGGCGGCAGUGCUGGUGCCAGAAGGAUCCGGACGUGAAGGCAACGGGGGCGCACGGCGACGAGGAGGCUUCUCCGAAGCCUUCCUCCUUCUGCUGCUGCUGUCCUGCCCGUCGACGCUGGCGGACGGUUCGGGUUCCACACCCUGCCCUUCUGCUAACGUCUCCAUAGCAGAAGGUUCAUCUGGGAUUAUCUUUGCCAAUGUUUUCCAGAAAUACAAAUAUUCUUUUGUUUCAUAACAGCAGCUUGUCUGAUCCUAAUGGUGACAUAUUAGCCAUAACUAAAGGGAAAAUGGAUAUCUUAAAUAGCACAUACAAUGGACACUUCUCUGUACAGGAAAAUGCCCUCAUUAUCAAGAACACCAGCAAACAGCUUGCUGGAGAAUACCAAUUUGCUAAUUAUAUGAAAAGGAUUUGUGUGCAUCGAGUCUUCCUUAGCGUACCUGACCCUAGGCACAGCCCUUCAGCUAAUCUUUCCAUACCAGAAGGUUCCUGUGGGACGAUCAUUCCAAAUAUAUAUUUAUGUCUCAUCAUGUUUAGUGCGCAUAUAAUUAUGUACUUUUUGAACUUUCAAUAAAGAAAAAA
Podarcis muralis (Common wall lizard) is the source of this 665-nucleotide non-coding RNA. Lineage: Eukaryota; Metazoa; Chordata; Lepidosauria; Squamata; Lacertidae. The record is from RefSeq and is a predicted model, not a curated record.